Long non-coding RNA from Pseudophryne corroboree (corroboree frog), 579 nucleotides. RefSeq lists it as uncharacterized. The transcript is spliced from 3 exons. The record is from RefSeq and is a predicted model, not a curated record. Lineage: Eukaryota; Metazoa; Chordata; Amphibia; Anura; Myobatrachidae.
AGUUGGCAGUUGAGUGGCGGCCAUCUUAGAGAGUUGUUCUGACUGGAGGAGCUGAGAGACAAGGCUGGCACUGCUGCUGUGAUUCCUAGCCAGGGAGGAGGACAGAGACGUGGCUACCUGGAGCAGUUUAGAGCUGGAGACCCUCGGAGACAGCUCCAUAGUGACAGAGCCCACCAUAUUUCCAGCAGCAAUUCUCAAAAAAGUCACAAAGACCUUCUGGCCCUGGGUCCACUCCUAGUGAAGCAGAGGAUGCUGUUGAUGCUGGAGACAAUCCCAAACCAUCUCAUCUGCAAAUUGGGCCAUAGAAUCCUUCACCUGAAGAAGGCGUGAAACCAUGCAAAAUGUGCUGGACCUUCUUGUCACACAAUAUUUAAUUAGAGUAAGUCCACAGAGCUGGAAAAGUUUAUCCAUUGCAACUGAAGACCUGUGAAACUGUUUGACUACUGCUUUCACAUUUCCCAAGAGACAUACAACAGCCUAUUUGUGGACCAUGUUGACAAGCUGUAAAGUGUGAAUAAAAGAGGGUGUCUGCUCCAUAAAGUCCCCAUACCUGAAAAACAGAAAGAAGAUAAACAAAGG